Molecule: long non-coding RNA, 282 nt
Organism: Mastomys coucha (southern multimammate mouse)
Lineage: Eukaryota; Metazoa; Chordata; Mammalia; Rodentia; Muridae
Exons: 2
Source: RefSeq, a predicted model, not a curated record
GAGGCUGGCCCGUGCGGCGAAUCAGAGAGCGGGGACCCUCGCAGCUUUACCAAUGCCCAAUCCCGUGCGAGCUCAGGUAGUUGUCUAGCCAAUCAAGAGAAUGGAGGACUUCAGUGCAAGACAGAGCGCAGAACAACCAAUCAAAAGCCACAGGGAGCAAGCCAGUAUGCAGCCUCUGCCCAGAGCUUCAUCAGUUCCUACUUCCAGGCUCCUGCCCUCACUGCUGUUGAUGAUGACCUAUGAUAUGGAACUGUGAGUGAAAUAAACCCUCUCCUGCCCACA